AUUGAACGCUGGCGGCAGGCCUAACACAUGCAAGUCGAGCGGAUGAAGGGAGCUUGCUCCUGGAUUCAGCGGCGGACGGGUGAGUAAUGCCUAGGAAUCUGCCUGGUAGUGGGGGAUAACGUCCGGAAACGGGCGCUAAUACCGCAUACGUCCUGAGGGGGAAAGUGGGGGAUCUUCGAACCUACCGCUAUCGGAUGAGCCUAGGUCGGAUUAGCUAGUUGGUGGGGUAAAGGCCUACCAAGGCGACGAUCCGUAACUGGUCUGAGAGGAUGAUCAGUCACACUGGAACUGAGACACGGUCCAGACUCCUACGGGAGGCAGCAGUGGGGAAUAUUGGACAAUGGGCGAAAGCCUGAUCCAGCCAUGCCGCGUGUGUGAAGAAGGUCUUCGGAUUGUAAAGCACUUUAAGUUGGGAGGAAGGGCAGUAAGUUAAUACCUUGCUGUCUUGACGUUACCAACAGAAUAAGCACCGGCUAACUUCGUG
This 484-nucleotide ribosomal RNA is filed under the name uncultured bacterium. Its description in RNAcentral is "partial 16S ribosomal RNA". It matches the Rfam family "Bacterial small subunit ribosomal RNA", at positions 30 to 507 of the family's 1533-position model. The record is from RNAcentral.